RNAcentral lists this long non-coding RNA (353 nucleotides) under Setaria italica (foxtail millet). RNAcentral's name for it is "long non-coding RNA (SITA_LNC006144)". The record is from RNAcentral. Lineage: Eukaryota; Viridiplantae; Streptophyta; Magnoliopsida; Poales; Poaceae.
ACGUGCACCGAUCAGCAACCUUGUCUUUCGCUGUAGCAUGCAAGGUCCUUUUCCUCGUGCCUGUGUGUUUCUGCAGGAAACACAGCAAAAACAAAUAUGCGGCCCUGUAGAAAGAGAAACUAGUGUGCGCGGACACCAGAGCAUAGACGACCUAUAAAAAUUCCAUCUCACCAAUAACAUUGCAGCAAGUGAACUCUGCAGCCAGUGCUCAAUGUUCAGGCAAAUGGAUACACGAUUAAGCGUCUUGCGUUGAUGUACACCAGCUACUAUUUCAAUAUUCAUGGAGAAAGAAUACUGAAUAUAGUACAGGCUUUGGUUACAGAGUGCGAACAUAGGCGCCAAUUGCUUCGAUG